Molecule: ribosomal RNA, 655 nt
Filed under: uncultured Tulasnellaceae
Lineage: Eukaryota; Fungi; Basidiomycota; Agaricomycetes; Cantharellales; Tulasnellaceae
Description: eukaryotic LSU rRNA
Rfam family: Eukaryotic large subunit ribosomal RNA (bases 549-655)
Source: RNAcentral
GUUCGCUUGUUUCCGUCGUCCUCGGGACGUUAAGGCGCUCUGGUCGAGGAUAAACGACCCCUCUGACCGAGGCUAAUCUGUCGCUCCUCUGUGUUACCCCUCCGGGGGCACACGUUAAAGAACGUUCCGCAUUGUGAGUCUCUCUCGGUUGUCAAACGAUCGUUUACAACCGGUAGCGAUGGAUCCCUUGGCACGUCAUUCGAUGAAGACCGUUGCAAAUUGCGAUAAAGUGAUGUGAUGCGCAAGUCCACCACUUAUACGUGAAUCAUCGAGUUGUUGAACGCACUGCACCGCGCCCUAAACCGGCUGCGGUAUGCCCCUUUGAGCGUCAUUGUAACCCUUCGGGAGUCUUGCUUUGUCGAGACCCGAGUUCGGAGUCCUCGGUCCUCUGGGAUCGUGUUCUCUCAGAUGCGUCGCGCCGAUCGCCUUUGAUGGGUUCUCUAAUGCCUGAGCGUGGAGUCCCUCAAGCCGAGACGCGCUCGACCGGGCGUUGGCCCGCGUCGGCAAGUCCGGAGACGAGUCCGCUCGUGCCCGUGAACUACAACGCAUGACCUCAUUGGGGUAGGACAACCCGCUAGACUUAAGCAUAUUAAUCAGCGGAGGAAAAGAAACUAACCAGGAUUCCCUCAGUAACUGCGAGUGAAGCGGGAUCGGC